Molecule: ribosomal RNA, 303 nt
Filed under: Creagrutus brevipinnis
Lineage: Eukaryota; Metazoa; Chordata; Actinopteri; Characiformes; Stevardiidae
Also listed under: 1 other name
Description: partial small subunit ribosomal RNA
Rfam family: Bacterial small subunit ribosomal RNA
Source: RNAcentral
CGUCGCAAGCUUACCCUGUGAAGGUCUCAUAGUAAGCAAAAUGGGUAUAUCCCAAAACGUCAGGUCGAGGUGUAGCUUAUGAGGUGGGAAGAAAUGGGCUACAUUUUCUAUGCCAGAAUAAUACGGACAGCACUAUGAAAAUUUAGAGCUCGAAGGUGGAUUUAGUAGUAAAAAACAAAUAGAGAGUCUUUUUGAAAUAGGCUCUGAGACGCGUACACACCGCCCGUCACUCUCCCCAUUUUACUUAUAUAACCAAUUAAAUAAAAAAUGACUCAAAAAGCGGGGAGGCAAGUCGUAACAUGG